AUGCCUAAUGGGAGCCUAGAUAGGUGGUUACACAUGGAUGUACAUGUAUCACAUCAACUCCAAGGUUUGACAUUGCUGCAGAGAUUAAAUAUUGCAGUUGAUAUUGCUGAUGCGCUAGAUUAUUUGCAUAACAACUGUGAACCACCAAUAAUUCAUUGUGACUUGAAGCCAAGCAACAUCCUUCUCAAUGAGGAUUUAGUUGCUCAUGUUGGGGAUUUCGGCCUUGCAAAGAUCCUCUCUGAACCAUCAACUGAGCAACUGAUCAAUUCAAAGAGCUCAGUCGGAAUAAGAGGAACAAUUGGAUAUGUCGCUCCAGAAUAUGGCGAAGGUGGGCAAGUUUCUUCAUGUGGAGAUGUGUAUAGCUUCGGAAUUGUCAUCCUCGAGUUGUUUAUAGGAAUGGCACCUACUCAUGACAUGUUCAGAGACGGGUUGACCCUGCAGAGACAUGCCAAGAAUGCAUUUCCAGGGAUGCUAAUGCAGAUUGUUGAACCAGUUCUACUGUCCACUGAAGAAGCCUAUGCUAGUAGUUUGCAGGAUGGAAGUAACAUAAUGGAACAUGGCAGCAAUAAUGCCAUAUUCUCUGUCAUGAAGAUUGCACUAUCAUGCAGCAGGCAUGCACCGACAGAGAGAAUGUGCAUGAAAGAUGCUGCUACUGUGAUUCACAGGAUAAGGGAUGGCUAUGUUAAAAUAAGACAAAAUGAAGAAGUUGCUACAGCUGCAUAUAAUGCAAGGCAUUUUGCUGAAACAUCGAGGCCAGCCCCCUAA
Molecule: ribosomal RNA, 765 nt
Filed under: Triticum aestivum (bread wheat)
Lineage: Eukaryota; Viridiplantae; Streptophyta; Magnoliopsida; Poales; Poaceae
Description: partial small subunit ribosomal RNA
Source: RNAcentral